AAUCUAUAGUUUUUUGAAUUGGGAACUGGAAUGAAUGAUUUGACGAAGURUAGGCUGUAUCGUUAUGAAAUAUUGAAUUUAACUUUUUAGUCAAAAGGCUGAAAUGAGAAUAGAGGACGAGAAGACCCUAUAGAGCUUGAUUAGUUUAUGAUUUUAUGGGAUUUGGUCUUGAAUUUUGUAUUGUCUUGAAUUAAUUUCAUUGGGGUGAUGAGUAGAUAGUAAAUAACUCUAUGUGUAAUUGGAAUAUAAAUAAGUAGAAUUUAUGUUUUUGUAUUAUGAAUAGGAAGGGAAGUUACCUUAGGGAUAACAGCGUUAUUUUUCUUGAGAGUUCUAAUCGAUAGAAGAGUUUGCGACCUCGAUGUUGGAUUAAGAGAAUUUUUGGGUGUAGAAGCUUGAAAGGUAGGUCUGUUCGACCAUUAAAUU
RNAcentral lists this ribosomal RNA (423 nucleotides) under Eremogryllodes bifurcatus. Its description in RNAcentral is "partial large subunit ribosomal RNA". The stretch from base 303 to 423 matches the Rfam family "Bacterial large subunit ribosomal RNA", at positions 2473 to 2594 of the family's 2925-position model. The record is from RNAcentral. Lineage: Eukaryota; Metazoa; Arthropoda; Insecta; Orthoptera; Myrmecophilidae.